GGGUUGUGAGGUUAAGCGACUAAGCGUACACGGUGGAUGCCCUGGCAGUCAGAGGCGAUGAAGGGCGUGCUAAUCUGCGAUAAGCGCCGGUAAGGUGAUAUGAACCGUUAUAACCGGCGAUACCCGAAUGGGGAAACCCAGUGUGACUCGUCACACUAUCAUUAACUGAAUCCAUAGGUUAAUGAGGCGAACCGGGGGAACUGAAACAUCUAAGUACCCCGAGGAAAAGAAAUCAACCGAGAUUCCCCCAGUAGCGGCGAGCGAACGGGGAGGAGCCCAGAGCCUGAAUCAGCAUGUGUGUUAGUGGAAGCGUCUGGAAAGGCGCGCGAUACAGGGUGACAGCCCCGUACACAAAAGCGCAUGUGCUGUGAGCUCGAUGAGUAGGGCGGGACACGUGGUAUCCUGUCUGAAUAUGGGGGGACCAUCCUCCAAGGCUAAAUACUCCUGACUGACCGAUAGUGAACCAGUACCGUGAGGGAAAGGCGAAAAGAACCCCGGCGAGGGGAGUGAAAAAGAACCUGAAACCGUGUACGUACAAGCAGUGGGAGCCCCACCACCAAAGCAUUCUCUGGUGUUGAAGGCCCUGCAAAGCAGCAUCGCGGUGGCGGAGCGUCGUUUGCGACGCCCAACACACAAAACAA
This 641-nucleotide ribosomal RNA is filed under the name Salmonella enterica subsp. enterica. RNAcentral's name for it is "partial 23S ribosomal RNA". It matches the Rfam family "Bacterial large subunit ribosomal RNA", at positions 1 to 587 of the family's 2925-position model. The record is from RNAcentral. Lineage: Bacteria; Pseudomonadati; Pseudomonadota; Gammaproteobacteria; Enterobacterales; Enterobacteriaceae.